AGUGUGAGCAUAUAUGUUGGGACCCGAAAGAUGGUGAACUAUGCUGAGUAGGACGAAGCCAGGGAACUCUGGUGGAGGUCCGUAGCGAUUCUAACGUGCAAAUUGAUCGUCGAACUUGAGUAUAGGGGCGAAAGACUAAUCGAACCAUCUAGUAGCUGGUUCCUCCCGAAAUUUCCCUUAGGAUAGCUGCAACCGAACAGUUUUAUCAGGUAAAGCGAAUGAUUAGAGGCCUCAGGGAUGAAAUGUCCUUGACCUAUUCUCAAACUUUUAAAUGGGUAAGAGCCCUGAGUUGCUUAAGUGAACUCGGCGGUCGAAUGACGGUUGCUAGUGGGCCAAUCUGGGUAAGCUAGAUUGGCGAUGCGGGAUGCUCCGAACGUUGAGUUAAAGUGCCAAAAUAUCCGCUAACCUAGAUCCCACAAAAGGUGUUGGUUCAUUAAGACAGCAGGACGGUGGCCAUGGAAGUCGGAACCCGCUAAGGAGUGUGUAACAACUCACCUGCCGAAUGAACUAGCCCUGAAAAUGGAUGGCGC
RNAcentral lists this ribosomal RNA (530 nucleotides) under uncultured eukaryote. RNAcentral describes it as "eukaryotic LSU rRNA". It matches the Rfam family "Eukaryotic large subunit ribosomal RNA", at positions 793 to 1328 of the family's 3401-position model. The record is from RNAcentral.